This 76-nucleotide transfer RNA is filed under the name Bacteroidales bacterium. RNAcentral's name for it is "tRNA-Phe". It matches the Rfam family "tRNA". Rfam says of the family: Transfer RNA (tRNA) molecules are approximately 80 nucleotides in length. Their secondary structure includes four short double-helical elements and three loops (D, anti-codon, and T loops). Further hydrogen bonds mediate the characteristic L-shaped molecular structure. tRNAs have two regions of fundamental functional importance: the anti-codon, which is responsible for specific mRNA codon recognition, and the 3' end, to which the tRNAs corresponding amino acid is attached (by aminoacyl-tRNA synthetases). tRNAs cope with the degeneracy of the genetic code in two manners: having more than one tRNA (with a specific anti-codon) for a particular amino acid; and 'wobble' base-pairing, i.e. permitting non-standard base-pairing at the 3rd anti-codon position. Lineage: Bacteria; Pseudomonadati; Bacteroidota; Bacteroidia; Bacteroidales. RNAcentral also lists the same sequence under 2 other names. The record is from RNAcentral.
GGUGCUGUAGCUCAGAUGGUAGAGCAAUGGACUGAAAAUCCAUGUGUCGGCAGUUCGAUUCUUCCCAGCACCACCA